RNAcentral lists this long non-coding RNA (252 nucleotides) under Sus scrofa (pig). RNAcentral describes it as "lncRNA (ENSSSCG00015062497.1)". Lineage: Eukaryota; Metazoa; Chordata; Mammalia; Artiodactyla; Suidae. The record is from RNAcentral.
AUGGGCAUGCACGUGUCCUUUCCCCUCCAUGACCUAGAUGGAAGCAUCAAUGAUUGAAGAUCAGCAGCAGCAUGGAAUCCUGGGCCUAUUUGGAGAUACCAAGUGAGUCCAAGGAGCUCCCAGAGGCAAGUUGAUGAUGGCCUAUUGAGGGGAUCAUGGAGGCCUGGUGAUGGUGGUCAGCAAAUGUAUAUAAUUAAUUCCUUAUAAUCUAUUAUCAACUAAUAUUUAAUUUGGAAGGCAUUUUCCCCUCAA